UCCUACGGGAGGCAGCAGUGAGGAAUAUUGGUCAAUGGGCGGGAGCCUGAACCAGCCAUCCCGCGUGCAGGAUGACGGCCCUACGGGUUGUAAACUGCUUUUCCGCGCCAAGAACGGCCCCGACGUGUCGGGGUUUGACGGUAGCGCGGGAAUAAGCACCGGCUAACUCCGUGCCAGCAGCCGCGGUAAU
This 190-nucleotide ribosomal RNA is filed under the name uncultured bacterium. Its description in RNAcentral is "partial 16S ribosomal RNA". It matches the Rfam family "Bacterial small subunit ribosomal RNA", at positions 337 to 524 of the family's 1533-position model. The record is from RNAcentral.